RNAcentral lists this ribosomal RNA (717 nucleotides) under Teleopsis dalmanni. Its description in RNAcentral is "partial 12S ribosomal RNA". The record is from RNAcentral. Lineage: Eukaryota; Metazoa; Arthropoda; Insecta; Diptera; Diopsidae.
AUGUAAAUUUUUGUGUGGUUAUUAAUUAAUUUUAAAAAUUAAUUUAUUUUAUAUAUUCGCAGUAAUUAAUAUUAAUAAUUUAAGAAAUUUAGAAUUAGUUAUAUUUAUAAUAUUAACGAAAUUUGUGCCAGCAGUUGCGGUUAAACAAAUAAUAUAAAUAUUUUAUUUUAAAAUUAGUUAAAUAUGUUUAUGUUAAAUUUAAAGUUAAAUUAUUAGGUGAAAUUAUAAUUUAAUUUAAAGUUUUAUUAAAUAUAAUUGAAGCUAAAAAAUUUUUGAUAUAAACUAGGAUUAGAUACCCUAUUAUUAAAAAUGUAAUUUUAAAAUUUUUAGGUAGUAAUAGUUAUGUUCUUGAAACUUAAAAAAUUUGGCGGUAUUUUAGUCUAUUCAGAGGAACUUGUCCUAUAAUUGAUAAUCCACGUUGGACCUUACUUAAAUUUGUAAUCAGUUUAUAUACCGUCGUUAUCAGAAUAUUUUAAAAGAAUAAUAAUUUUCUUAAAUUUAUAAAUAAUUUUAUUUCAGAUCAAGGUGUAGCUUAUAUUUAAGAAGAGAUGAGUUACAUUAAAAGUAUUUAUAUGAAUAUUAAUAUGAAAAAUUAAUUGAAAGUGGAUUUGAAAGCAAAUUUAUAAAGAUAAAUAAAUUGAUUUUAGCUCUAAAAUAUGUACAUAUCGCCCGUCGCUCUUAUUUUAAAAUAAGAUAAGUCGUAACAUAGUAGAUGUA